RNAcentral lists this long non-coding RNA (2037 nucleotides) under Daucus carota (carrot). Its description in RNAcentral is "long non-coding RNA (DCAR_LNC003767)". Lineage: Eukaryota; Viridiplantae; Streptophyta; Magnoliopsida; Apiales; Apiaceae. The record is from RNAcentral.
CUGUGUGAGCAGUCUGUACAUGUUAGAAUCAAAAUCAGUUUGAAGGGGGCUUGGAACUAAGUUAUGAAUUGCUGCUUUCUGUUCACCAUAUAUGCCCGCAGAUAAAAAGAGAAGACAGACAUUUACAAUUGAUUGUUUGGAUAAAAUUUACGGAUGUACCAUGGUUAAUUAGUUCAUUGAUGAGGUUGUUGUAAUACUGUAGUCCCUUGGGAUUGACAGCUCCAGUCCCAUCUAAGAAGAAAAGGGCUAUCAUGCCCAAGAUAGCAAGAAAGAUAAUAGUACCAACAUUAAGUAAAUAUGAUGAUAAGUGCGCAUACUUGGAAUAAGUCUUGACCAUGAAAUAGAGAACCUAUAUGCCUCUAGGCCUGUCUCCACCAUCAGAUGGACAUCUUCCUGCCACAAAAUAUCGACUCAGAAAAGAAGAGGGGAAAUUUUAAAAGAAUCAGGGUAUGUCAACAUGCACAAUUUGUUUUUGGGUAAUAUUAGUAAAAGGCUAUACUGCUUUUGUAAGUGCUCAUUCUGCGAUCUGCAGCAAUAGCGUUUCUAUACACAAAAAUUAACACCACAAAGAUUGAGUACUUAGAAUUGAGCUUUUCAUGCAGUAGAAAUGCCUGUAGAGCCCCAAGGAUUGCCCAAUAGGGACAUAUAUAUACGAGAAAAACAAAGAUAAGGUCUUUCUUGAAUGAUUUUACAGACCUUGUAUUUGUGAUACUCAUCACAUGCAAUAUCUCCAUUAGCUCCAUUUGUGUAUCCUGAAAGUAUCAACUGAACCUCAAGACCUUCCAUUGAGAGUAAAAACACUAAGCACUAAUAACCAGAAGACUAAAAAUGCUCAUCUAUAGAUCAGCUANCAGCCUAUCUUUGUUGCUCGCAUAAUUAUCAAUAUACAUAAUAAAGAAAGAAUUUAUUAAUGCAAAGUAUUAACAUUAUUAGGUGGGAUUGGUCACUAACCAGCCAAUAAAAAAGUCAAAAGCCCUUUGGGUUGCUAUUACAUCUUCCGGUGCAUUGGUGUAAGGAACAUACCAGUAUGCAUAUACAUCUAGUCCUAUCAAACCAUGUUGUUCAGCCUGCAUCACAUGUUCGCCUAUGACUAAAUUAGUAACUGAAGUAUGCUGCGAUUGUUAAACUAGUAGUUGGUUUCAUACAUGCUCAAGAAGAUUUUAUUAAAUACAGAAUAACACAAAAUGGCAUGCCUACACUUGAAAUGUAAAUGUACAUUUUUUUAUUUACCAAUGUUCUACCUUAUACAGUAACAUAUGGAUGAAAUGAUAUGUUACCUUGUAUUUCUUAAAGUACAAUCUUGCAGUAGCUGCAUGUGCCAGUAGUAUGUUAUGAGCAACGAUGUAUGGCUCAGUAGAUGAGUUACCUCCGACACAAUUUGUUCCAAAGGGAGAAGAGCAUCGGCUAGGCUGAAAUAAUCCCAAAUCAUAACCGUAGUGAGCAAAAACGUUGGGUUCGUUGAAGGUAGUCCAGUGAAGCACUCUGUCGCCAAAUUCUCUGAAGCAAAUAUUGGCAUAAGCGACAAAAGCUUUCCUGCACUCACAUUAUUACCAUUUCCUCAUGCAAUUCAUUCUCUGGGUUAUGUGCGAAUAUAUGUGCACAAAGGAAAGACACAAUUAUGCAAACAUGACAAUAACAAGAGCGUAAAGGUCUUUACACUGUCUUCUUACUAAGCCAUCCUCCAUACUCAUCUUCAAGUAUUUGUGGUGUAUCGUAAUGAAAUAAUGUAACAUGUGGUUCUAUUCCUGUGUGAGCAGUCUGUACAUGUUAGAAUCAAAAUCAGUUUGAAGGGGGCUUGGAACUAAGUUAUGAAUUGCUGCUUUCUGUUCACCAUAUAUGCCCGCAGAUAAAAAGAGAAGACAGACAUUUACAAUUGAUUGUUUGGAUAAAAUUUACGGAUGUACCAUGGUUAAUUAGUUCAUUGAUGAGGUUGUUGUAAUACUGUAGUCCCUUGGGAUUGACAGCUCCAGUCCCAUCUAAGAAGAAAAGGGCUAUCAUGCCCAAGAUAGCAAGAAAGAUAAUAGUACCAACAUUAAG